GGGUGUGCACCAAUACCUGGUGCAGUUCCACUGUGAGAUAUAGUAAGGGGGAGAGUGUCUCUCUGGAGAGCUGCAGAGAAGUGCAGUGAUAUUUGUGUACCUUUAUGUGUUUUGAAUCCCAGUCACACCCCAGAAGAGUAAGGGUCCAACUUAAUUUUGUUUUCUUUAAAAAUGACUGUAUUUGCCACCAGGGUGAAACUGCAUUGAUGUUUAUAAAGUGCAGUAAAAAAACAGAUUAAACUGAAAUUUGAAGUUACUUUCUCCCAUCUGCCUUGACUCUUCCAAUACCAAUAUGGUGUUUUGAUGGUGAUUGGGGAUUGUUUGUACAGGCAGAAUAUCUACAGAUUAAGUGGGAUGGUGCAAGCCAGAUGGAGGAGCCAUGCUAGACAAGGCCAAGCAACUUGAGAGUUGGUUGCUGGAAAGGAGACAUGAGAGUACAGCCCAGUCAUCUUCAGCAAAGAUCCCACAGGUCCAGCGCACCCCAAUACAUGUUGUGAAUGUUCCAGAAACAACAGGCCAAAGUCAGUAAAUGUCCUAUCUACAAAUACUCAUGAUACCCUAUCAAAGGCUUUUUCAGCAUCUGUGGGACAAACCCUGCCUGUUCUGGAUGAAUCAGAAACGUAACACCAACUUGGCCUGUGGGAAAGAAGAAAAAAAAAUAGCAACCACAAAUCAGUAUCUGAAGAGCCAAUGUAACACUUGUUUGAGAGACACAUACCGUUCUUUGGCAGUGCACUAAUGGACCGUGGAUUUUCCGUUAAGAGACAUUGCCUGAGCUUGCAUCUAUAUUAAACAUUUCUCAAGUACCAACAAGCAGCAAUAAUGUGAAAAUACUGGUGGAGCCUUUCUGCUGCAUAGUCUGGUACCUCUGUGUAGUAUUUAUUAUGGCAUGGUAUUGUGCUGCUUCUGUAAUUCAUCUUUUUUUUCCUUUUUUGUUGGAAGCACUCAAUUUUCCUGCUUGUGCACAGUCUGGUAAACAGUCCUAUGUUUUCCUUCUUGGUAUGUUAUUUACAUUGUUACUCUAUAUUUCACUAUUUCCUCUCUUAUUUUACCAUCAUUUUUCUUUUAAUAUGAGUUAAAAUUGCCUUUGUUAUCUCUUUGUCAUGCUUUGUUCUGGCCUUACUUAUAUAAAUGAUCUCCGUGACAAAUGUAAACAUUAUUCAGUUUUUGUAUCAAAUUGAGUUUUGGGCCUCAUUGGAAGACUGAUAGAAGCCUGCCUCACAUCAAACUGGUAAAUGUUAGACAUAUUUUUAAAGUCAUUAAGAGAAUCUGCCAUCAUAACACCACCAGACAGUGAAUUUCAUUCAAAUAACUAGGCACUUCUUAUAGUCUAAAGGGGUGGCCUCUUAUGGGGAAAACAUCCUCACUAUUUGUUUUAAAUGACAUAUCGCCAGCAAGAUAAGACAAAGACAUAAUUUCUCUUUUACCUUAGUUGGAGCUUUGGCAUGACACAAUAUGGUUCCAGGGUUUAAGGGCAAUACAUUACACUCUUGGAUGCCCAUCUUAAAGGUCAGUGAAUCCAGGAUAUUUGUAGUGCACUAAUUCAGAUAUACUUGGUUUGAUAGGCUCAUACAACAAUGAUUUCUUAAAUAGGUAAACUUGUUGCCACCUAAGGAUUGGGUCUUGAAUGGGGCUUGAACUUAAACUGCUAUGCUAGGGACUGUUGUGCUAGUUUUCUGUCAGAGGCACUGGACUUUUUUGAUUAGAAACCUUUUUUUGAGUAGAAACCUUGAAAUUAAAUUGCAUGACCCAUAAUACUUUCCGAUCCUUUGCAUUAAUUCGGCUGCAGGGAUUUUGUUACAGAAGUGGAUCAAUAGUGGGUUAAUCCUGCUCUACAGAGCAUCAGGUGGUGGACCUCUGGAUGUAAGGGCCUGAUUGGGGAAAGUGCAGAACUCAAGAGACAAAAUUUCAGAUGCAAAGGCAACUGCUGGAUUUGGGAGCUUAAUCCUACUGCAAGAGGCUCAAUAAGGAAACAGAGGAACUGAUAAAGGAGCACCUAUUAGACUAUAUGACAUUGUCCCAGCAAAUAAAGGCACUAGCAGUGAGAGAGCUGAGAGCAGUUAUUAUGAAAAAACUAUUCUCUUUGUGAUUAUAAGAGUAUAUUUCAAUGGUGAAGAGUAGAUUUUUUAAUUGCUUGUUCUCUUUUAAUCUUUUGCUAAUAACCAUCACAUCCUGGAGGUAAAACACUGGUAGGUCUUGGUAGAGGGCCAGAGCCUGGGAAUACCUCUCUGCAGGGGGUUGCUAAAAAUACAAUGUAUUCAAAACAUGAAAAAAAGCAACUGUAUUGUAAGUUAACAGAGCACUAGUUAAAAAUGUGUUCAAAUAGCCUACAAAAAAAAUGCUUCAUACAGUAAGAGAACCAGAAUGUUUCAAAAUGUUUUCCAAAGUAUGAUGAAUGAAUGUCUCAGUACAAAAGGUGUAGCAAUACACUGAAAACUAUUAAACAUUUUCUCAUUAAAA
Molecule: long non-coding RNA, 2460 nt
Organism: Xenopus laevis (African clawed frog)
Lineage: Eukaryota; Metazoa; Chordata; Amphibia; Anura; Pipidae
Exons: 4
Source: RefSeq, a predicted model, not a curated record